UGGGGAAUUUUCCGCAAUGGGCGAAAGCCUGACGGAGCAAUACCGCGUGAGGGAGGAAGGCCUUUGGGUUGUAAACCUCUUUUCUCAGGGAAGAAGUUCUGACGGUACCUGAGGAAUCAGCAUCGGCUAACUCCGUGCCAGCAGCCGCGGUAAUACGGAGGAUGCAAGCGUUAUCCGGAAUUAUUGGGCGUAAAGCGUCCGCAGGUGGCUAUUCAAGUCUGCUGUCAAAGAGCGAAGCUCAACUUCGCAAAGGCAGUGGAAACUGAAAGGCUAGAGUAUGGUAGGGGUAGAGGGAAUUCCCAGUGUAGCGGUGAAAUGCGUAGAGAUUGGGAAGAACAUCGGUGGCGAAAGCGCUCUACUGGGCCAUAACUGACACUCAGGGACGAAAGCUAAGGUAGCGAAUGGGAUUAGAUACCCCCGUAGUCC
Molecule: ribosomal RNA, 426 nt
Filed under: uncultured prokaryote
Description: bacterial SSU rRNA
Rfam family: Bacterial small subunit ribosomal RNA
Source: RNAcentral